AUGGAGCAGUCGCCGACGCAGUCGGCCGAGUCCACCGGUAAGGAGAACCCGGAGGCACCGGGAUGGACAAGAAGGUUACGAAUUGGGCGUGCCCCUCCGGAUAGAGGACCCUGUGCUGGUAGAGUCACUCAUUUAGAGGAAACAAUAAGGAGAUACGCUGAUAAACAGUCGGACAAUGUAAUAAAGCCAAAGAUUGGUAUGAGUUUUGAUUCCUUUGGAGAAGCGUACGAUUUCUAUAACUUGUAUUCUUGGGAGGUUGGAUUUGGUAUAAGAUAUGGCAAGAGUCGUUUGAACGUCGAGCGGACAAAGUGUUUGCAAGAGAUCGUCUGUGGAUGCUCGGGGAAACCAGAGCAACAGAAUAGCCGGUCUUGCCGCUGCGAGUGCCCUGCGAUGACACAGGAGGCAAGAGAAAGGAGUCCUUGA
Molecule: ribosomal RNA, 423 nt
Filed under: Triticum aestivum (bread wheat)
Lineage: Eukaryota; Viridiplantae; Streptophyta; Magnoliopsida; Poales; Poaceae
Description: partial small subunit ribosomal RNA
Source: RNAcentral